AACGUAGGACACGAGCGUUAUCCGGAGUUACUGGGCGUAAAGGGUGCGCAGGCGGUUUUGUAAGCCAGAUGUGAAAUCCCCGGGCUCAACCUGGGAAUGGCAUUUGGGACUGCAAGGCUAGAGUGUGGCAGAGGAGACUGGAAUUCCUGGUGUAGCAGUGAAAUGCGUAGAUAUCAGGAGGAAUACCGAUGGCGAAGGCAGGUCUCUGGGUUAACACUGACGCUCAUGCACGAAAGCGUGGGGAGCAAACAGG
Molecule: ribosomal RNA, 253 nt
Filed under: uncultured bacterium
Lineage: Bacteria
Description: partial 16S ribosomal RNA
Rfam family: Bacterial small subunit ribosomal RNA
Source: RNAcentral